GCCGGGGUGGCGGAGCACGGCUUAACGCGCACGCCUGGAAAGCGUGUUCCUUCACGGGAGCUUGGGUUCAAAUCCCAACCCCGGCG
Molecule: transfer RNA, 86 nt
Filed under: Candidatus Altarchaeales archaeon
Lineage: Archaea; Nanobdellati; Candidatus Altarchaeota; Candidatus Altarchaeia; Candidatus Altarchaeales
Description: tRNA-Ser
Rfam family: tRNA
About the family: Transfer RNA (tRNA) molecules are approximately 80 nucleotides in length. Their secondary structure includes four short double-helical elements and three loops (D, anti-codon, and T loops).
Source: RNAcentral